UGGAGGCAGCAGUAGGGAAUAUUGCAAAAUGGGCGCAAGCCCGACGCAGCAACGCCGCGUGCGCGAUGAAGGCCUUCGGGUCGUAAAGCGCUUUUCGGAGGGAUGAGGAAGGACAGUACCUUCGGAAGAAGUCUCGGCUAACUACGUGCCAGCAGCCGCGGUAAAACGUAGGAGGCAAGCGUUAUCCGGAUUUACUGGGCGUAAAGCGCGUGCAGGCGGCACGGCAAGUUGGAUGUGAAAGCUCCCGGCUCAACUGGGAGAGGUCGUUCAAGACUGCCGAGCUAGAGGAUGGUAGAGGGAGGUGGAAUUCCGGGUGUAGUGGUGAAAUGCGUAGAUAUCCGGAGGAACACCAGUGGCGAAAGCGGCCUUCUGGACCAAUCCUGACGCUCAGACGCGAAAGCUAGGGUAGCAAACGGGAUUAGAUACCCGGGUAGUCCU
RNAcentral lists this ribosomal RNA (438 nucleotides) under uncultured bacterium. RNAcentral describes it as "bacterial SSU rRNA". It matches the Rfam family "Bacterial small subunit ribosomal RNA", at positions 343 to 797 of the family's 1533-position model. The record is from RNAcentral.